Molecule: small nucleolar RNA, 107 nt
Filed under: Nicotiana sylvestris (wood tobacco)
Lineage: Eukaryota; Viridiplantae; Streptophyta; Magnoliopsida; Solanales; Solanaceae
Also listed under: 1 other name
Description: Plant small nucleolar RNA R71
Rfam family: Plant small nucleolar RNA R71
About the family: R71 is a member of the C/D box family of snoRNAs containing the C (UGAUGA) and D (CUGA) box motifs. Multiple nearly identical copies of this snoRNA have been identified in Arabidopsis, and it is thought to function as a 2'-O-ribose methylation guide for 18S ribosomal RNA.
Source: Rfam by way of RNAcentral
ACGUCAUGAUGUGGAUAUUUCCUUAACAUUAUUUUCAAUUUUUCCCAAGCUUGAUAAACUGACUCAGUGUCAGUCUGCAAGAAGUUAGAUAUAUCAUGUUUUAACUU